GCGUAAGCGUGUUCAGAUAUUUUUACACUAAAGUUAAAACUUAACUAAGCCGUAAAAAGCUACAGUUAUCAUAAAAUAAACCACGAAAGUGACUUUAUAAUAAUCUGACUACACGAUAGCUAAGACCCAAACUGGGAUUAGAUACCCCACAA
RNAcentral lists this ribosomal RNA (152 nucleotides) under Canis lupus familiaris (dog). RNAcentral's name for it is "partial small subunit ribosomal RNA". Lineage: Eukaryota; Metazoa; Chordata; Mammalia; Carnivora; Canidae. The record is from RNAcentral.